UGCGGCCGCCGGCGGGCUGCGUAGUGACGCAGGCGCGAGACUGUGCGGUGGCAGCCAUGGCGGACGGUUGCGAUGAGGCUGCUCCUGGGUCUCGCGGCUAUCCAAGACCAUUGAGGGUCCCCGGCGGCGCCUGCCGUCUGCUGAGGCUGGGUGAGAGUCACAGGAACUGGGGGCCCUGCUGGGUUGCGAGGUCAGGGAUUUCGGGCCCGGUGGGAGCGGGCGCGCCCCCCUAAGUUAUCCCGCCCCUGGCCCUGUCGGUUGGGUACUCGCUGCGGGUGUUCGGCCCGGGCCAUUCCGUCCUGGGCUUGGCUGGGACGCGGGAAGGUGGCUCUAACUGAGCUUCUGAAGAUUCCUUUGGAAAUACACGUGCGGCCUUGGCGAGUGCCGCUUGAGGUGGGGAAAUGGGGUCGUGGGGAUGGCCUCCUAGGCGAAAACCAAGGUGGGGGCGGGACAUGAGGACUGGCUUGAGCUGACCACGUGGCCCUUGCAGGUGGACUCCUCUGCGGCAGAUCUCCUGUAAGAUGUGCUGGUUAAGGCUUCUGGCAGAUUCGGGUCAGUCCCAAGUGCGACCGGUCUUCUGGGGCUGCCGUCCGCAGACCCUUCUCGCAUCCACGUACCUGGCGGCCUCCCUCAUCGCGUGCUGUUGGUAGGGGGGCGAGUCAGGCCCUGUACACGUCCUGACAGGCACCCGGCCCACCCCCAGCCAACUGUGCGCUGUGUUCCUGCCCCAGCACGAGACCUGUGGGGUGUCCGCGGCAGAAGAUGUCAGAGCUGGAAGAGACCUGAGAGGCGAUCCCUUGGUGGGUGAUGGGUUCUUCCGGGAAUCUGGUGGUUUGCGCGCCUUGUCGUCUGCUUCCAGAACAAGGAUCUUCGCUGUACGCCAAGACCCAGACCCCUCUGACAUCGGAAUGACAAGUGGGAUAUUUAAUAAAACAGUUUCAAAUUUGGAGUCAGUCCAGCCUCUGUUGUUUUCUCUUUUCUGUGUUAGCUGCAAAGGGGAAGAAGACCCCGCCCUUGAAGGAGUUUCAGCCAAGUGUGAGGCAUCCCUAGGGUGUCUCCCAUUUUGUUGCUUGUGUCUUUGUAAAGUGCCCAGUGGGUGAUAGAGCAUCAGGAUCUGUACCUUGGGAUCCCAGAGUGGGUUCCGGUGGUUUGACGGGGUCUCCGCCCCGUCCUCUUCAGUGUGGGUCACACUGGGUCACACACUAGAGUAUCCAGACCUCCGCCUGUGGGUUGAUGCCUUAAGAAUGCAUGACCCUCGUGGUC
This 1263-nucleotide long non-coding RNA is filed under the name Sus scrofa (pig). RNAcentral's name for it is "lncRNA (ENSSSCG00045032679.1)". Lineage: Eukaryota; Metazoa; Chordata; Mammalia; Artiodactyla; Suidae. The record is from RNAcentral.